UAAUAAAAUUUUUAUCUAUUUUUACUAUUAAAAAUUAGUUUGACUAACAAAAUAAGUAGACAACUACACGUGGCAUGGUGUGCCAUGUGUACCUCAUUUUAACAUACAAGAAUCAAUUUUUAACAGUAGAAAUGAAUGCAUUUUUAACA
Gossypium hirsutum (cotton) is the source of this 149-nucleotide non-coding RNA. The record is from Rfam. Lineage: Eukaryota; Viridiplantae; Streptophyta; Magnoliopsida; Malvales; Malvaceae.